Molecule: non-coding RNA, 66 nt
Filed under: unclassified sequences
Description: RAGATH-18 RNA
Rfam family: RAGATH-18 RNA
About the family: Actinobacteria, Firmicutes, Fusobacteria, Thermotogae (1 example).
Source: Rfam by way of RNAcentral
GCUGUGGAGAGCAAAACAAAUAUGAGUAGAUAUUUUAUAUCAAAAAUAUGUUCGUUGAAACAGCAA